Molecule: transfer RNA, 69 nt
Filed under: Camelops sp. IMNH 2027/14846
Lineage: Eukaryota; Metazoa; Chordata; Mammalia; Artiodactyla; Camelidae
Description: tRNA-Cys
Rfam family: tRNA
About the family: Transfer RNA (tRNA) molecules are approximately 80 nucleotides in length. Their secondary structure includes four short double-helical elements and three loops (D, anti-codon, and T loops). Further hydrogen bonds mediate the characteristic L-shaped molecular structure. tRNAs have two regions of fundamental functional importance: the anti-codon, which is responsible for specific mRNA codon recognition, and the 3' end, to which the tRNAs corresponding amino acid is attached (by aminoacyl-tRNA synthetases). tRNAs cope with the degeneracy of the genetic code in two manners: having more than one tRNA (with a specific anti-codon) for a particular amino acid; and 'wobble' base-pairing, i.e. permitting non-standard base-pairing at the 3rd anti-codon position.
Source: RNAcentral
AGCCCUGUGGUGAAAUAACAUAUUGAAUUGCAAAUUCAAAGAAGCAGCUUCAAACUCUGCCGGGGCUUC